Molecule: RNA transcript, 3026 nt
Organism: Vigna umbellata (rice bean)
Lineage: Eukaryota; Viridiplantae; Streptophyta; Magnoliopsida; Fabales; Fabaceae
Source: RefSeq, a predicted model, not a curated record
GUUGACUCGGGAUUCGUUCCUUAUACGCUCCACCAAACCCAAAACAAGAGGACACGUAGUCGCAUGGACCCAUGCUCCGUUUUUCUUUCUCUUCUCUCCAUCCCACACUUCAUUUCCAUGCAAUGCAUCCAACUCUCCAAACACCAACUCUAUAUAUACUAAACCCAACCUAUCUAGCUCCUGUUACUUUUCAUUCACACAAUUCCUCAAACACCUUGCAACAACAUGCAACUCCGGAUACAACACUGCUAAACACCAAUGGCUUCCACCAUCGCUCCCGCAAUGCCUUCCACCUCCACCGACCCCGACCCCGACGCUGCCGUCAGGGCGGUUAGGAAACGCUACGAGGGCCUUCUCACAGUGCGCACGCGCGCGAUCAAAGGCAAAGGCGCGUGGUACUGGGCCCAUCUCGAGCCCACUCUCCUCGGCAACGCGGUCAAGCUCAAGUGCUCCCUCUGCGACUCUCUCUUCUCCGCUUCUAACCCUUCUCGAACCGCUUCCGAGCAUCUCAAGCGUGGUACGUGUCCCAAUUUCAACCACUCCUCCUUGCCUUCACCGUCUCCUAUUUCUACCGUGCUCUCCCAUUCCAACAACGGCAGAAAGAGAACCUCCUCCUCAGCCUCUCCGAAUCAGGACCGCUCCGUUCAGCAUUUGAUGUUGUCUGGAGGGAAAGAUGAUUUGUGUGCUCUCGCUGUUUUCGAGGACAGUGUGAAGAAGCUCAAGAGUCCUAGGAAUUUGUCGCAUGUUGCUCCUCCUGAGUUGACCCAGGACCAGGUUAACUCCGCUGUUGAAUUACUGGCAGAUUGGUUCUACGAGUCUUGUGGUUCUGUGCCUCUCUCUUCUCUUGAACACCCCAAGUUUCAGUCCUUUCUCACCCAGCUUGGUUUGCCGGUGACUCUGUUGAGACGCGAGAUAUAUUGUUCUAGGCUCGAGGAUAGGUUCGGGGCGGUCAAGGCCGAGUCCGAAGCUAGAAUCCGAGACGCACUGUUUUUUCAAGUGGGGUGUGAUGGUUGGAAGGGCGAGGAUGGUGUGGCGAAGUUCAUAGUGAACCUUCCGAAUGGGACUAGCGUGUUCCACAAGGUGGUGCUUGGUGGGGAGGUGGUGUCGUCUAAGUAUGCUGAGGAGAUUUUGUGGGAGGUGGUGAAGGGUGUUUGUGGAAGUGAUGUGCAGAGAUGUGUUGGGAUUGUUGCCGACAGGUUUAAGGGUAAGGCGUUGAGGAACUUGGAGGUUCAGAACCAUUGGAUGGUGAACGUUGCUUGUCAGGUUCAGGGGUUCACGGGUUUGAUCAAGGAUUUUAGCAACAACUUACCACUUUUCAGGGUUGUCACUGAAAAUUCACUCAAGGUUGCUAAUUUUAUCAACACUGAGUCUCAAGUUAGGGGUAGUUUCCUAAGGUACCGAAUGCAGGAACUGGAAUGUGCUGGGCUGGUUCGGGUUCCCUCUCCAAAAUGUGACGUGUUGAAGGACUUUACGUCUGUGUUUCCGAUGCUGGAGGACAUCCUGAGAUGUGCUGCCGUGAUCCAAAUGGUGGUGAUGGAGGACGCGUUUAAGGUGGCUUGUAUGGAGGACCCACUGGCCAGAGAGAUUGCCGGGAUUGUUCAGAGUGAGGGAUUCUGGAAUGAACUGGAGGCGGUUUAUUCGCUGGUGAAGCUCAUCAGAGGAGUGGUUCAGGACAUUGAGGCUGAGAGGCCGUUGGUUGGUCGGUGUUUGCCUCUCUGGGAGGAGGUUAGAACCAAGGUGAAGGAGUGGUGUGUUAAGUACAGUAUUGUGGUUGAACCCGUAGAGGAAAUACUCGAAAAUCGAUUUAGGAAGAAUUAUCACCCUGCAUGGUCAGCUGCAUUUAUACUUGAUCCUCUUUACUUGAUUAAAGAUGCGUGUGGAAAGUACCUUCCUCCGUUCAAGUGCUUAACUCGUGAACAAGAGAAAGAUGUCGAUAAGUUAUUGACGAGGCUGGCUUCACGAGAAGAAGCUCAUGUGGUGUUGAUGGAGCUCAUGAAGUGGAGAUCAGAAGGGCUUGACCCUCUUUAUGCACAGGCUGUGCAGAUGAAACAACAAGACCCCAUUACAGGGAAGAUGAAGGUAGCAAAUCCACUUAGCAGUAGACUUGUUUGGGAAACUUGCCUCAGCGAAUUUAAAUCCUUACGGAAGCUUGCAGUGAGGCUCAUUUUUCUGCAUGCAACCUCAUGUGGGUUUAAGAGUAAUUAUUCUUUCAUCAGGAAGCUUUCUGCUCAGAAGCACUCGAGAAUUUCCUUGGAAAGAGCUCAGAAAAUGAUAUAUGUUGCAGCUCAUGCCAAGCUUGAAAGACGAGAUUUUUCCAAUGAGGAAGAGAAAGAGGCAGAACUGCUUGCCAUGGAAAGCAGUGAUGAUGGCAUGCUGGCUGUAGUCUUUGCCGAUACACCCCUAAUAGGUGGCAUUGCUUGAAGCAGUAGGGUGGGUAGCAAACCGGACUUGGUCGCGACGUGGGUCAACCUCGGAAGAACAUGAAAAGGAAUCUUUGUGGCCGCAGAAGCACUUCUCAUAGAUAAUCCUGCAUAUCUACUGGAGUGUUUGUCUGACAAAUGGUGAGGCCCACCAUGGUGGAAGUGGCUGUCCAUGUCACUGCUUUGGUUGUCAUGGUCAAAGAAAAGUGAGGUUUGCGGAAUGAACCGUUUGGCUUACCAUGAUUGCUAAAAAGUUUGGGAGAAAGUUAAAACAAGGAGUAUAGGGAAAGAAAAUCAAAGUGAAAGCAAGGAGGCCUGUCGGCAUAAGGAGGUGCAUAAUAUGGGUCAGGGGAUAAUAUUUCAAUAAGCUGCAUAAGAAAAGCAUUUUUUGCAUGUACGUUCAGGGGAUUAUUCUAAUUUUUAACCAUGGCAGUUCUAGAGUUGGUGGUGAUGACAUCUCAGAUCACUCUUUACCCUUAUUGUCGUAGUCAUAUCAUACGUACAUGAGUUCCUUUUUAGUGUCAUACUUUUGCAGACCUGAGAAAUUGAUGUAAAGAUUAUUCUGACAUAUGACACACACUAUCAAUUUAAUGCAUGCAUUCCUCA